AUGAUUCCAGAGGGAACAAGACCUCUAUUCUCUGAUGAUGACUUUACACAGAAAGACAGGGAUGAUGCAGGAUCCACAGGAGAUAUUGUGAUGACCCAGACCCCACUCUCUCUGUCCGUCAGCCCUGGAGAGACGGCCUCCAUCACCUGCAAGUCCAGUGAGAGCCUCGUACAUAGUGAUGGAAAAACCUAUUUGAAUUGGCUGGUGCACAAGCCAGGCCAGGCUCCACAGCGCAUGAUUUAUGAGGUUUCCAACCGGGACUCUUGGGUCCCAGACAGGUUCAGCGGCAGUGGGUCAGGCACAGAUUUCACACUCACAAUCAGCAGGGUGGAGGCUGAGGAUACUGGAGUUUAUUACUGCUGUCAAGGUACGAACCUUCUUCCACAGUGA
This is a non-coding RNA of Chinchilla lanigera (long-tailed chinchilla), 390 nucleotides long. NCBI's taxonomy places the organism in Eukaryota, Metazoa, Chordata, Mammalia, Rodentia, Chinchillidae. The record is from the annotation of a RefSeq genome assembly.